AUACGUAGGGGGCUAGCGUUAUCCGGAAUUACUGGGCGUAAAGGGUGCGUAGGUGGUUUCUUAAGUCAGAAGUGAAAGGCUACGGCUCAACCGUAGUAAGCUUUUGAAACUAAGAGACUUGAGUGCAGGAGAGGAGAGUAGAGUUCCUAGUGUAGCGGUGAAAUGCGUAGAUAUUAGGAGGAAUACCAGUUGCGAAGGCGGCUCUCUGGACUGUAACUGACACUGAGGCACGAAAGCGUGGGGAGCAAACAGGAUUAGAUACCCUGGUAGUCCACGCCGUAAACGAUGAGUACUAGCUGUCGGGGGUUACCCCCCUCGGUGGCGCAGCUAACGCAUUAAGUACUCCGCCUGGGAAGUACGCUCGCAAGAGUGAAACUUAAAGGAAUUGACGGGG
This 394-nucleotide ribosomal RNA is filed under the name uncultured bacterium. RNAcentral's name for it is "partial 16S ribosomal RNA". It matches the Rfam family "Bacterial small subunit ribosomal RNA", at positions 523 to 918 of the family's 1533-position model. The record is from RNAcentral.